This 76-nucleotide small RNA is filed under the name Xanthomonas hortorum pv. pelargonii. RNAcentral describes it as "sX9 sRNA". It matches the Rfam family "Xanthomonas sRNA sX9". Lineage: Bacteria; Pseudomonadati; Pseudomonadota; Gammaproteobacteria; Lysobacterales; Lysobacteraceae. The record is from RNAcentral.
AGGUACCACUCGUACACGGUAGUUCCCACGCGUCGUCCGCACCCACCUCACGACCGCUCGCUAGGUUGUGUUAGCU